RNAcentral lists this small RNA (632 nucleotides) under Pan troglodytes (chimpanzee). RNAcentral describes it as "retained intron". Lineage: Eukaryota; Metazoa; Chordata; Mammalia; Primates; Hominidae. The record is from RNAcentral.
AGAUCUAGGAGCACCAUCAAUCUGUUACUCUGCUAGUUUAUCUAUUAAAACACAAACUAAAGAUGCAUUUAAAUAAGGCCUGUUUAUUGGAAUUAUUAAUAAUUUUGGAGAUGGGAAAAGAGCAUGACUGUUUGACUUUGUAGGUGGAAAUCAACGAGAACUUGCCCGCCAGAAAAACAUGAAGAAAACCCAGGAAAUUAGCAAGGGAAAGAGGAAAGAGGAUAGCUUGACUGCCUCUCAGAGAAAGCAGAGGGACUCUGAGAUCAUGCAAGAAAAGCAGAAGGCAGCUAAUGAAAAGAAGUCUAUGCAGACAAGAGAAAAGUGAUGACUGGCUAUUUGGAAAACCUGGGUGCUACUGCCAACUGGGUGUAUCAUAAGCUCUAAGAUCAAGAUUUUGUAGAGUGGACAGUCAUUACAUACGUUAUAACUUAUCCUUUAAAAACUAUUUUAAACUUUAUCCUUUCAGCUUUACUUAGUGCGAUGUUUUAGAAGCAAUCUUCAAAGAAUAAAACACUAACCAUGCAUGUGACAUAUUGGUGAACAUUAUUUUUAUUAUUGAACAUUCAUAUAUAAUUUAUUAGGUAAUAUGAUCAGAUAAUAGGAUCUCUUAUAUAAUAAAGAAUCUUUGUCAU